GCGGACGUGGCGAAACUGGUAGACGCAAGGGACUUAAAAUCCCUCGGCCUUGGCUGUACGGGUUCGACCCCCGUCGUCCGCACCA
RNAcentral lists this transfer RNA (85 nucleotides) under Rhizobium sp. RNAcentral's name for it is "tRNA-Leu". It matches the Rfam family "tRNA". From Rfam's summary of the family: Transfer RNA (tRNA) molecules are approximately 80 nucleotides in length. Their secondary structure includes four short double-helical elements and three loops (D, anti-codon, and T loops). RNAcentral also lists the same sequence under 28 other names. Lineage: Bacteria; Pseudomonadati; Pseudomonadota; Alphaproteobacteria; Hyphomicrobiales; Rhizobiaceae. The record is from RNAcentral.